GAUGAACGCUGGCGGCGUGCUUAACACAUGCAAGUCGAACGGAAAGGCCCUGCUUGCAGGGUCCUCGAGUGGCGAACGGGUGAGUAACACGUGGGUGAUCUGCCCUGUACUUUGGGAUAAGCCUGGGAAACUGGGUCUAAUACCGAAUAUGACAAUUGUUUGGAUGCGAUUGUGGAAAGCUUUUGCGGUAUGGGAUGAGCUCGCGGCCUAUCAGCUUGUUGGUGGGGUAAUGGCCUACCAAGGCGUCGACGGGUAGCCGGCCUGAGAGGGUGUACGGCCACAUUGGGACUGAGAGACGGGCCAGACUCCUACGGGAGGCAGCAGUGGGGAAUAUUGCACAAUGGGCGCCAGCCUGAUGCAGCGACGCCGCGUGGGGGAUGACGGCCUUCGGGUUGUAAACUCCUUUCGCAACCGACGAAGCCUUUUGGUGACGGUAGGUUGAGAAGAAGCACCGGCUAACUACGUG
This 466-nucleotide ribosomal RNA is filed under the name uncultured bacterium. RNAcentral describes it as "partial 16S ribosomal RNA". It matches the Rfam family "Bacterial small subunit ribosomal RNA", at positions 28 to 507 of the family's 1533-position model. The record is from RNAcentral.